GAUGAACGCUGGCGGCGUGCCUAAUACAUGCAAGUCGAGCGAACAGACGAGGAGCUUGCUCCUCUGACGUUAGCGGCGGACGGGUGAGUAACACGUGGAUAACCUACCUAUAAGACUGGGAUAACUUCGGGAAACCGGAGCUAAUACCGGAUAAUAUAUUGAACCGCAUGGUUCAAUAGUGAAAGACGGUUUUGCUGUCACUUAUAGAUGGCUCCGCGCCGCAUUAGCUAGUUGGUAAGGUAACGGCUUACCAAGGCGACGAUGCGUAGCCGACCUGAGAGGGUGAUCGGCCACACUGGAACUGAGACACGGUCCAGACUCCUACGGGAGGCAGCAGUAGGGAAUCUUCCGCAAAGGGCGAAAGCCUGACGGAGCAACGCCGCGUGAGUGAUGAAGGUCUUCGGAUCGUAAAACUCUGUUAUUAGGGAAGAACAAAUGUGUAAGUAACUAUGCACGUCUUGACGGUACCUAAUCAGAAAGCCACGGCUAACUACGUG
This 497-nucleotide ribosomal RNA is filed under the name uncultured bacterium. Its description in RNAcentral is "partial 16S ribosomal RNA". It matches the Rfam family "Bacterial small subunit ribosomal RNA", at positions 28 to 507 of the family's 1533-position model. The record is from RNAcentral.